RNA transcript from Pan troglodytes (chimpanzee), 1128 nucleotides. It is a transcript of the gene named keratinocyte associated protein 2, with no coding region annotated. The transcript has 7 exons. The record is from RefSeq and is a predicted model, not a curated record. NCBI's taxonomy places the organism in Eukaryota, Metazoa, Chordata, Mammalia, Primates, Hominidae.
AGUAGCAAGUCCGCGGUAAGCGCUGACGCAUGCGCAUAGCUAACCGCACCCGGUUCAGCUCGCCUUUCUUGGCCAGAGGCGCCGGUUGGACUCACGGGCGGGGCAUGAUGGUGGUGGGUACAGGCACCUCGCUGGCGCUCUCCUCCCUCCUGUCCCUGCUGCUCUUUGCUGGGAUGCAGAUGUACAGCCGUCAGCUGGCCUCCACCGAGUGGCUCACCAUCCAGGGCGGCCUGCUUGGUUCGGGUCUCUUCGUGUUCUCGCUCACUGCCUUCAAUAAUCUGGAGAAUCUUGUCUUUGGCAAAGGAUUCCAAGCAAAGAUCUUCCCUGAGAGUAACCUAAAAUCCUUUCCUGCCCCCAUGAAGAAGUGGAUCCAAGCACUCUGCCCUCCAACCUGUGUCCAGGGAGCAAGGCCUUCAACUUCCACCACUGGUCACCCAGCUUAAUGAAUUGACUCUCAUUGUCUGGCUUCUUUUGGAAAGGGUUUAACUGGGUUCCCCAAAUGGGAACACACCUUGCCCUUCAGACUCUGUUAUCCAUCACCUUUCCUUUUCCCUUUUAUGGGAGGAAAGCCAGGGUAGGGAAGUUAUGUGAGAUUUGGGGCAGAGCUGGUAAAAAAAAAGCAUACAUCUACAUCCAUGUUCUUUUUUUUUUUUUUUUUUUUUUGGAGACGGGGUCUCACUCUGUUGCCCAGGCUGGAGUGCAGUGGUGCGAUCACAGUUCACUGCAGCUUUGAACUUCCUGUCUCAAGGGUUCCUCCAACUUCAGCCUCCUGAAUAGCUGGGACUACAGGCUGGUCUCAAACUCCUGGGCUCAAGUGAUCUGCCCACCUCAGCCUCCCGAAGUGCUGGGAUUCCAGGUGCAAGCCACCACACUCAACCUCCUACCUCCAUGUUCUGGGUAUCAUUAAGUUCUCCUGUGCCUCCUGUUGGCUCUCUUUGCAUCUGGCCUCAUCCACCGAGUCUGUGUCACCACCUGCUUCAUCUUCUCCAUGAUUGGUCUGUACUACAUCAACAAGAUCUCCUCCACCCUGUACCAGGCAGCAGCUCCAGUCCUCACACCAGCCAAGGUCACAGGCAAGAGCAAGAAGAGAAACUGACCCUGAAUGUUCAAUAAAGUUGAUUCUUUGUA